RNAcentral lists this unclassified non-coding RNA (379 nucleotides) under uncultured Thermoleophilia bacterium. RNAcentral describes it as "contains 16S-23S intergenic spacer region". The record is from RNAcentral. Lineage: Bacteria; Bacillati; Actinomycetota; Thermoleophilia.
UCCGAGUUGACCCCGGCAGUCUCCCAUGAGUCCCCGCCAUAACGCGCUGGCAACAGUCGGCAAGGGUUGCGCUCGUUGCGGGACUUAACCCAACAUCUCACGACACGAGCUGACGACAGCCAUGCACCACCUGUGAUCCUGCCCACAAGGGGAAACCGUGUUUCCACGGCGGUCAGGAACAUGUCAAACCCAGGUAAGGUUCUUCGCGUUGCGUCGAAUUAAACCACAUGCUCCGCUGCUUGUGCGGGUCCCCGUCAAUUCCUUUGAGUUUUAGCCUUGCGGCCGUACUCCCCAGGCGGGGAACUUAAUGCGUUAGCUUCGGCACGGACGGAGUCGACACCGCCCACACCUAGUUCCCAUCGUUUACGGCGUGGACUAC